CCUACGGGUGGCAGCAGUGAGGAAUAUUGGUCAAUGGCCGGAAGGCUGAACCAGCGAAGUAGCGUGAGGGAAGACUGCCCUAUGGGUUGUAAACCUCUUUUAUGCGGGGAUAAAGGUGUCCACGUGUGGAUGUUUGCAGGUACCGCAUGAAUAAGGACCGGAUAAUGCCGGGCCAGCAGCCGCGGGACGACGGAAGGUCCGGGACGUAACCGGAUUUAGUGGGUUUAAAGGGAACGUAGGAUGGUCUUUAAGCGUGCCGUGAAAUUUUUUGGCUCAACCAUGAGAGUGCGGCGCGAACUGGAGACCUUGAGUGCGCGGAAGGCAGGCGGAAUUCGUGGUGUAGCGGUGAAAUGCUUAGAUAUCACGAAGAACCGCGAUUGCGAAGGCAGCCUGCCGCAGCGUUACUGACGCUGAAGCUCGAAAGCGCGGGUAUCGAACAAGAUUAGAUACCCUGGUAGUC
Molecule: ribosomal RNA, 460 nt
Filed under: uncultured bacterium
Lineage: Bacteria
Description: partial 16S ribosomal RNA
Rfam family: Bacterial small subunit ribosomal RNA
Source: RNAcentral